CAAGGCAGUGGAUUGUGAAUCCCCCAUGCGCG
This 32-nucleotide transfer RNA is filed under the name Dieteria canescens var. incana. RNAcentral describes it as "partial tRNA-His". The record is from RNAcentral. Lineage: Eukaryota; Viridiplantae; Streptophyta; Magnoliopsida; Asterales; Asteraceae.